CAUCAAGAGCUGGCAGAGGGAUUGGCCCGAUGAUGCCGCAGCAACCUUCAGUAAUGAAAGGUGCUAAUUCCAACAGUUGACGUACUGGAAGAUG
This 94-nucleotide non-coding RNA is filed under the name uncultured Megasphaera sp. RNAcentral describes it as "SAM riboswitch (S box leader)". It matches the Rfam family "SAM riboswitch aptamer (S box leader)". Rfam says of the family: The SAM riboswitch is found upstream of a number of genes which code for proteins involved in methionine or cysteine biosynthesis in Gram-positive bacteria. The record is from RNAcentral. Lineage: Bacteria; Bacillati; Bacillota; Negativicutes; Veillonellales; Veillonellaceae.